This is a non-coding RNA of Bradyrhizobium sp. BTAi1, 428 nucleotides long. The record is from Rfam. Lineage: Bacteria; Pseudomonadati; Pseudomonadota; Alphaproteobacteria; Hyphomicrobiales; Nitrobacteraceae.
UCAGUCGGCCGGACGGCCGCUCCGGCAGGUGCCGAAAGGCCGCCGGGGAGGAAAGUCCGGGCUCCAUCGACAUGCGGUGCCGGAUAACGUCCGGCGGGGGCGACCCCAGGGACAGUGCCACAGAGAACGAACCGCUUCCUCCCGAAAGGGAGGCGAGUAAGGGUGAAAAGGUGCGGUAAGAGCGCACCGCGGGGCCGGCAACGGAACCGGCAUGGUAAACCCCACCGGGAGCAAAACCGAAUAGGGACGGCCACGCGGAGACAAUCGCCUUUGGCGAUGACGUCCGCGGGAGCGAUGUCAGGCUCGCCGUCCGGGUAGGUUGCCCGAGGUCUCGCGCAAGCGCGAUCCCAGAGGAAUGGCCGUCACGUAUCGUCAUGCGCAAGCAUCACGGUGCCCUACAGAACCCGGCUUACAGGCCGGCUGAUAUG